AGUUAGGUAGUAAUACUUGACCUAGAGCGGCGCACGGGUGCGUAACGCGUAUGCAACCUACCUUUUACUGGGGGAUAGCCCGGAGAAAUCUGGAUUAAUACCCCAUAGUACCUAAGGAUCGAUUGGUUUUUAGUUUAAAGAUUUAUCGGUAAAAGAUGGGCAUGCGUCUGAUUAGCUAGUUGGCGGGGUAACGGCCCACCAAGGCGACGUUCAGUAGGGGUUCUGAGAGGAAGGUCCCCCACACUGGCACUGAGAUACGGGCCAGACUCCUACGGGAGGCAGCAGUAGGGAAUAUUGGGCAAUGGUCGCAAGACUGACCCAGCCAUGCCGCGUGCAGGAAGACGGCCCUCUGGGUUGUAAACUGCUUUUAUCUGGGAAGAAAAAGUCCAUGCGUGGAAAAUUGCCGGUACCAGAUGAAUAAGCACCGGCUAACUCCGUGCCAGCAGCCGCGGUAAUACGGAGGGUGCAAGCGUUGUCCGGAUUUAUUGGGUUUAAAGGGUGCGUAGGCGGCUGAAUAAGUCAGCGGUGAAAGACUUCGGCUUAACCGGAGCAGUGCCGUUGAUACUGUUUAGCUUGAGUGUUGGAGGGGUACAUGGAAUUGAUGGUGUAGCGGUGAAAUGCAUAGAUACCAUCAGGAACACCGAUAGCGAAGGCAUUGUACUGGCCAACAACUGACGCUGAGGCACGAAAGUGUGGGGAUCGAACAGGAUUAGAUACCCUGGUAGUCCACACUGUAAACGAUGAUUACUCGCUGUUAUGCUGUAUAGUGUAGCGGCCAAGCGAAAGCGU
RNAcentral lists this ribosomal RNA (789 nucleotides) under uncultured Bacteroidota bacterium. Its description in RNAcentral is "bacterial SSU rRNA". It matches the Rfam family "Bacterial small subunit ribosomal RNA", at positions 70 to 860 of the family's 1533-position model. The record is from RNAcentral. Lineage: Bacteria; Pseudomonadati; Bacteroidota.